RNAcentral lists this ribosomal RNA (490 nucleotides) under uncultured bacterium. RNAcentral describes it as "partial 16S ribosomal RNA". It matches the Rfam family "Bacterial small subunit ribosomal RNA", at positions 29 to 507 of the family's 1533-position model. The record is from RNAcentral.
AGUGAACGCUGGCGGUAGGCCUAACACAUGCAAGUCGAACGGCAGCACAGGAGAGCUUGCUCUCUGGGUGGCGAGUGGCGGACGGGUGAGGAAUACAUCGGAAUCUGCCCAGUCGUGGGGGAUAACGUAGGGAAACUUGCGCUAAUACCGCAUACGACCUUCGGGUGAAAGAGGGGGAUCGCAAGACCUCUCGCGAUUGGAUGAGCCGAUGUCGGAUUAGCUAGUUGGCGGGGUAAUGGCCCACCAAGGCGACGAUCCGUAGCUGGUCUGAGAGGAUGAUCAGCCACACUGGAACUGAGACACGGUCCAGACUCCUACGGGAGGCAGCAGUGGGGAAUAUUGGACAAUGGGCGCAAGCCUGAUCCAGCCAUACCGCGUGGGUGAAGAAGGCCUUCGGGUUGUAAAGCCCUUUUGUUGGGAAAGAAAUCUUUCAGGCUAAUACCCUGGGAGGAUGACGGUACCCAAAGAAUAAGCACCGGCUAACUUCGUG